Molecule: non-coding RNA, 23 nt
Filed under: Cricetulus griseus (Chinese hamster)
Lineage: Eukaryota; Metazoa; Chordata; Mammalia; Rodentia; Cricetidae
Source: RNAcentral
GGUAGAGCGGAGGACUGUAGUGG